CGCUCUUUAAGUUGGAAGAGCCAUCUUAAAUGGAAACUACAUCGGUCGCUCGCCUCUCACAUACACCAAAGUAACAUGCGCCUAUUUUAAUCUGAUUAAUGCUUUUGAGAUUUCCUUCUAAUUGACUUGGACUUUGCAGAGGUGCGCUUGUAGGUCUCUUCAACACAUUUUCUCCACAGUGUUGUUCACGCACGGGAGUAUUGCAGCGUUUCGGUUUAUUUUGGCCAGUUUAUUGAAACGAUCAAAAGUGAGCACCGUAGCCUACCUCAUCCCUGACCAUUCAAAAGCCUGUAUGUGAACAAGACAGCCGACAGCAAUGCCGCAGAAGUAAAUCACAGCGUACCGAUGCAAAGUGGAUUUUACCCCAAGAUCAAGACCUCUGCAGGACUGUGACGAGGGCAGAGGACACGGCCACUGUGGGAACCGAAGAAUGCUGAGUGGUGACGUUGACUUCAACACCAAAUGCAUGAUGGGAGGAGGAACUUGUGACAAAGCAGGGAAGGUAGGCCUUAAUGUAUGCUUUUGAACCACUGGAGCAACUAACCUGUAAUAGAUUCUUUUAUAGGUAAAAGGAUCAUUGGCUCAACUGACAACGAACUGCUUGAAAUCAGCGUAUUGUAAUUCUACAUAUACUGUUAUGAUGUAUGAUUAAAUGAUGCAACUGAAGAAGACGUAGCACUGUAUUUCAAGACAAGAAAAUCUUUUCUUGACGACAGUAGAAAUGUUUUUUUAUCAACUGUACAAUAAUUUCUGCCAGACGCACAAGUAAAUAAACAUGGGUC
RNAcentral lists this long non-coding RNA (782 nucleotides) under Sinocyclocheilus rhinocerous. RNAcentral's name for it is "lncRNA (ENSSRHG00000028157.1)". Lineage: Eukaryota; Metazoa; Chordata; Actinopteri; Cypriniformes; Cyprinidae. The record is from RNAcentral.